Molecule: small RNA, 1016 nt
Filed under: Drosophila ananassae
Lineage: Eukaryota; Metazoa; Arthropoda; Insecta; Diptera; Drosophilidae
Description: GF28090
Source: RNAcentral
GAAUUAUUUUUUACUGAUUGAAGGCGAAUUAACAAGUUUAAUUUUUGUAUAUUUGCUUCGACCCAAUGGAGAUAAAGUUGGCAUUUGAGAUUCUUGUGAACUGUUGGAUAUUCCUGAGUCACUUCGGUUAAUUCUGUAUCUUGCCUGUUCAAUGGACUGAAGAUCAAAACUGCAACCUCCAUGUGUCCCGCAAGGACUCAACUCUGAUGGCGAUCGUCAAUGGACACCACCCUCUAACUGCCCCAAUUCUGGUGGAAAUAACUUGUCAAAAUUCAAAAGAGUAGUUCAAAAUAGAAAUAAACUACUAUCCAAGUUUGAACAAAUUUGAAUUAUUUUUUCUCAUUAAAAAAAAAUCACAUAAAACACUCGAAUUUCGGCCUCCUAAACUGGUUUCCCCCCUUAAUAUAUAAUUUUCAAAUAACGAGCAAUUUUAUUACUAGCUGUUAAAGAACUGUGAGUAUUAAAUGUUUAUAAUCCAUUAAAAACGUUCGGCCCGGAUCCCUUUGAAAAAAAAUGCAAAUGGGAAAAGGUUAUUAAAACUUUCUUGUGUUAUCAUGUUCUUCUAAUAAUAAAAAUAUUGAAUUUCGUAGCUCUUUUACUCUGGUUAAAUACAUUGAUCCGAACCUGGAUUACCCUGAAUACCCUUCAAUUGUUAUUAAGCAUCAGCGACUCUGCUUUUUAUUCUUUUUACUAUUUAUUCUUUUGGUCGAAAUCCCCAGAGUUAAAAUAGAUACAUGGGACUUAUAUUUUUCGUAUUUUAUGAACUUUCUGUAUGCCUUUUCAGAUAGUAUUAUAUGUUUGGAGGACCUCCUGAGUCCAUAUAAGCAUGUUUGUCUGUCCGUCGAGCUGUCUGAAGUCCAUAUAAGCAUGUCUGUUCAUCGGUCUGUCUGAAAUUAUUUUGAUUAUGACAUUUUCAUAAGGAUCGGAUAAAACUAUCCGAUAAUAAAAUACUUUAAACGUCAUUAUCUUUUGUUCAAAAACGAUUAGUGCGUAUAUAAACUCAACAUUAAUGGGUG